RNAcentral lists this ribosomal RNA (468 nucleotides) under uncultured bacterium. RNAcentral's name for it is "partial 16S ribosomal RNA". It matches the Rfam family "Bacterial small subunit ribosomal RNA", at positions 28 to 507 of the family's 1533-position model. The record is from RNAcentral.
GACGAACGCUGGCGGCGUGCUUAACACAUGCAAGUCGAACGGAAAGGCCCUGCUUUUGUGGGGUGCUCGAGUGGCGAACGGGUGAGUAACACGUGAGUAACCUGCCCUUGACUUUGGGAUAACUUCAGGAAACUGGGGCUAAUACCGGAUAGGAGCUCCUGCUGCAUGGGGGGGGUUGGAAAGUUUCGGCGGUUGGGGAUGGACUCGCGGCUUAUCAGCUUGUUGGUGGGGUAGUGGCUUACCAAGGCUUUGACGGGUAGCCGGCCUGAGAGGGUGACCGGCCACAUUGGGACUGAGAUACGGCCCAGACUCCUACGGGAGGCAGCAGUGGGGAAUAUUGCACAAUGGGCGGAAGCCCGAUGCAGCAACGCCGCGUGCGGGAUGACGGCCUUCGGGUUGUAAACCGCUUUCGCCUGUGACGAAGCGUGAGUGACGGUAAUGGGUAAAGAAGCACCGGCUAACUACGUG